Planococcus citri (citrus mealybug) is the source of this 755-nucleotide long non-coding RNA. RefSeq lists it as uncharacterized. The transcript is spliced from 2 exons. Lineage: Eukaryota; Metazoa; Arthropoda; Insecta; Hemiptera; Pseudococcidae. The record is from RefSeq and is a predicted model, not a curated record.
GUAUGCAGGAAAAUUUAAACGUAUUUAUAAAGUAAAAUUAGGUAAGCAUAGGAAACCUCGUAUAUUUCUUCAUUUUUCAUUUUACAUACCUGUAGCUUGUGAAAUUUCAUCGAAGCAUUUCUUCCACUCCAGUCAAUGGCAUUGAAUGCGAGUGGCAUAUUGUUCAUUAUAUGAAGUUAAUACAGGUCUACCUACCUUGAGAGUAUAAUAAUUUUUUCAUCGUGAAAAUCAGGAUGGAAGAGUACAGCUCAAUAAAUUCAUGAUUCGAAAUUCGAAUGGAUCGAGGUUUUGUGAAGUGUAAAUUUUUGAAAACCAAGUAGGUAUUUCUGCUUUAAACAUUGUGUUCUUUUCGUUUUUGAAAUUGAAUUUUAUGAAUUUAUCGAAAGGCCCGGGACGAAAAUUUUUUUUGAAAAUGGAUGCUGGCAUUGUUCCAAGAUUUUGACCUUCUCCUCUCGUCUUGCUUAAAAUUAUUGUUUUAUCACUGUUGAAAGCUAUUUUUGUCAUUUAAAAAAUGGUAUUUUAUCAUACUAGUAAAAUGACAUAUUUUAUGCAAACGUGGGAAGAAAACGCGCAUUUGAUCACUCGAGCGACCAGCGAGAGUGAAAAAAGUAGUGUUUUAUUCUACUAGUAGGAUAAAUAAGUAUAUUUGUUGAAAAAGUUCAGAUUUUUGAUAUUUCAACCAAGUGUCGUCAAAUACCUAGGUAAAUAAAAAUUGAUUGUAAACAUAUUUUUUCAAAUAAAAAAAUUUUAUUCAA